RNAcentral lists this ribosomal RNA (251 nucleotides) under uncultured archaeon. RNAcentral's name for it is "partial 16S ribosomal RNA". It matches the Rfam family "Archaeal small subunit ribosomal RNA", at positions 731 to 982 of the family's 1478-position model. The record is from RNAcentral.
AGAUACCCCUGUAGUCCCAGCCGUAAACUAUGCGCGUUAGGUGUAUCGGUGACCACGAGUUACCGAGGUGCCGAAGGGAAACCGUGAAACGUGCCGCCUGGGAAGUACGGUCGCAAGGCUGAAACUUAAAGGAAUUGGCGGGGAGCACCACAACAGGUGGAGCCUGCGGUUUAAUUGGACUCAACGCCGGGAAGCUCACCGGAUAGGACAGCAGAAUGAUUGCCGGGCUGAAGACCCUGCAUGACUAGCUG